RNAcentral lists this ribosomal RNA (460 nucleotides) under uncultured bacterium. RNAcentral describes it as "partial 16S ribosomal RNA". It matches the Rfam family "Bacterial small subunit ribosomal RNA", at positions 338 to 795 of the family's 1533-position model. The record is from RNAcentral.
CCUACGGGAUGCAGCAGUGAGGAAUAUUGGUCAAUGGACGAGAGUCUGAACCAGCCCAGUAGCGUGAAGGAUGACUGCCCUAUGGGUUGUAAACUUCUUUUAUAUGGGAAUAAAAUGUUCCACGUGUGUGAUUUUGUAUGUACCAUAUGAAUAAGGAUCGGCUAACUCCGUGCCAGCAGCCGCGGUAAUACGGAGGAUCCGAGCGUUAUCCGGAUUUAUUGGGUGUAAAGGGAGCGUAGGUGGAUUGUUAAGUCAGUUGUGAAAGUUUGCGGCUCAACCGUAAAAUUGCAGUUGAAACUGGCAGUAUUGAGUACAGUAGAGGUGGGCGGAAUUCGUGGUGUAGCGGUGAAAUGCUUAGAUAUCACGAAGAACUCCGAUUGCGAAGGCAGCUGACUGGACUGCAACUGACACUGAGGCUCGAAAGUGUGGGUAUCAAACAGGAUUAGAUACCCGGGUAGUC